ACGCCUUAUACAUGCAAGUCGAACGAAGUAGCAAUACUUAGUGGCAGACGGGUGAGUAACAUGUGGGUAUCUUCCCUUUGGUGAGGAAUAACACGAGGAAACUUGUGCUAAUACCUCAUAAGUCUUUACGGAGAAAGCUUUAUGCGCCAAUGGAUGAGCCCGCACUUGAUUAGUUAGUUGGUGGGGUAAUGGCCUACCAAGACUUCGAUCAAUAGCUGAUUUGAGAGGAUGAUCAGCCACAUUGGGACUGAGACACGGCCCAAACUCCUACGGGAGGCAGCAGUAAGGAAUCUUGCACAAUGGAGGAAACUCUGAUGCAGCGAUGCCGCGUGAGUGAAGAAGGCCUUUGGGUUGUAAAGCUCUUUCGUCGGGGAAGAAAAUGACUGUACCCGAAUAAGAAGGUCCGGCUAACUUCGUGCCAGCAGCCGCGGUAAUACGAAGGGACCUAGCGUAGUUCGGAAUUACUGGGCUUAAAGAGUUCGUAGGUGGUUAAAAAAGUUGGUGGUGAAAUCCCAGAGCUUAACUCUGGAACUGCCAUCAAAACUUUUUAGCUAGAGUAUGAUAGAGGAAAGCAGAAUUUCUAGUGUAGAGGUGAAAUUCGUAGAUAUUAGAAAGAAUACCGAUUGCGAAGGCAGCUUUCUGGAUCAUUACUGACACUGAGGAACGAAAGCAUGGGUAGCGAAGAGGAUUAGAUACCCUCGUAGUCCAUGCUGUAAACGAUGUGUGUUAGACGUUGGAAAUUUAUUUUCAGUGUCGCAGCGAAAGCGAUAAACACACCGCCUGGGG
Molecule: ribosomal RNA, 786 nt
Filed under: uncultured Pelagibacteraceae bacterium
Lineage: Bacteria; Pseudomonadati; Pseudomonadota; Alphaproteobacteria; Candidatus Pelagibacterales; Candidatus Pelagibacteraceae
Description: bacterial SSU rRNA
Rfam family: Bacterial small subunit ribosomal RNA
Source: RNAcentral